UACGGAGGAUGCGAGCGUUAUCCGGAUUUAUUGGGUUUAAAGGGUGCGCAGGCGGAUUUUUAAGUCAGCGGUCAAAUCGUGGGGCUCAACCCCAUCCAGCCGUUGAAACUGGGGAUCUAGAGUGUGCGGGAGGUAUGCGGAAUGCGUGGUGUAGCGGUGAAAUGCAUAGAUAUCACGCAGAACCCCGAUUGCGAAGGCAGCAUACCGGUGCACAACUGACGCUCAGGCACGAAAGCGUGGGUAUCGAACAGG
Molecule: ribosomal RNA, 252 nt
Filed under: uncultured bacterium
Lineage: Bacteria
Description: partial 16S ribosomal RNA
Rfam family: Bacterial small subunit ribosomal RNA
Source: RNAcentral